RNAcentral lists this ribosomal RNA (413 nucleotides) under uncultured bacterium. RNAcentral describes it as "bacterial SSU rRNA". It matches the Rfam family "Bacterial small subunit ribosomal RNA", at positions 505 to 916 of the family's 1533-position model. The record is from RNAcentral.
GUGCCAGCAGCCGCGGUAAUACGUAGGUGGCAAGCGUUAUCCGGGGUUAUUGGGCGUAAAGCGCGCGUAGGCGGUUUCUUAAGUCUGAUGUGAAAGUCCACGGCUCAACCGUGGAAGGUCAUUGGAAACUGGGGAACUUGAGUGCAGAAGAGGAGAGUGGAAUUCCAUGUGUAGCGGUGAAAUGCGCAGAGAUAUGGAGGAACACCAGUGGCGAAGGCGGCUCUCUGGUCUGUAACUGACGCUGAUGUGCGAAAGCGUGGGGAUCAAACAGGAUUAGAUACCCUGGUAGUCCACGCCGUAAACGAUGAGUGCUAAGUGUUAGGGGGUUUCCGCCCCUUAGUGCUGCAGCUAACGCAUUAAGCACUCCGCCUGGGGAGUACGACCGCAAGGUUGAAACUUAAAUAAAUUGGCGG